GGUUGUGGCUCAGCGGUAGAGCGCUCGCCUAGCACGUGCAAGACCCUGGGUCCGAUCCUAAGCACCA
RNAcentral lists this transfer RNA (67 nucleotides) under Marmota monax (woodchuck). Its description in RNAcentral is "tRNA.Ala". The record is from RNAcentral. Lineage: Eukaryota; Metazoa; Chordata; Mammalia; Rodentia; Sciuridae.